Molecule: ribosomal RNA, 484 nt
Filed under: uncultured bacterium
Lineage: Bacteria
Description: partial 16S ribosomal RNA
Rfam family: Bacterial small subunit ribosomal RNA
Source: RNAcentral
AUUGAACGCUGGCGGCAGGCCUAACACAUGCGAGUCGAGCGGAUGAAGGGAGCUUGCUCCUGGCUUCAGCGGCGGACGGGUGAGUAAUGCCUAGGAAUCUGCCUGGUAGUGGGGGAUAACGUCCGGAAACGGGCGCUAAUACUGCAUACGUCCUGAGGGAGAAAGUGGGGGAUCUUCGGACCUCACGCUAUUAGAUGAGCCUAGGGCGGAUUAGCUAGGUGGUGGGGCAACGGCCUACCAAGGCGACGAGCCGAAACUGAUCUGAGAGGAGGAUCGGCAACACUGGAACUGAGACACGGUCCAGAGGCAUACGGGAGGAAGCAGGAGGGAAGUUUCAGAAAUGGGCGAAAGAUUGACGGAGCAAAGUGGCGUGAGGGAUGAAGGUAUUUGGAUAGUAAAAUUUUGUUAUUAGGGAAGAAGAAAUGUGUAAGGAACUCUGCACGUCGUGACGGUACAGAAUCAGAAAGCAACGGCUAACUACGUG